AGCAGGGUAGACGAAUUGGUAAACUCAUCACGCUCAUGACCUGAAGACUGCAGGUUCGAAUCCUGUCCCCGCCU
RNAcentral lists this transfer RNA (74 nucleotides) under Ipomoea nil (Japanese morning glory). It matches the Rfam family "tRNA". Rfam says of the family: Transfer RNA (tRNA) molecules are approximately 80 nucleotides in length. Their secondary structure includes four short double-helical elements and three loops (D, anti-codon, and T loops). Further hydrogen bonds mediate the characteristic L-shaped molecular structure. tRNAs have two regions of fundamental functional importance: the anti-codon, which is responsible for specific mRNA codon recognition, and the 3' end, to which the tRNAs corresponding amino acid is attached (by aminoacyl-tRNA synthetases). tRNAs cope with the degeneracy of the genetic code in two manners: having more than one tRNA (with a specific anti-codon) for a particular amino acid; and 'wobble' base-pairing, i.e. permitting non-standard base-pairing at the 3rd anti-codon position. Lineage: Eukaryota; Viridiplantae; Streptophyta; Magnoliopsida; Solanales; Convolvulaceae. The record is from Rfam by way of RNAcentral.